This 511-nucleotide ribosomal RNA is filed under the name uncultured marine eukaryote. RNAcentral's name for it is "SSU rRNA". It matches the Rfam family "Eukaryotic small subunit ribosomal RNA", at positions 614 to 1131 of the family's 1831-position model. The record is from RNAcentral.
UGCAGGUUAAAAAGCUCGUAGUUGGAUUUCGGAGUGGGCCAGUUGGUCCGCCGCAAGGUGUGUUACUGACUGGUUUGCUCUUCUUCGCAAAGACUGCGUGUGCUCUUCGUUGAGUGUGCGUAGGAUUUACGACGUUUACUUUGAAAAAAUUAGAGUGUUCAAAGCAGGCUAUUGCUUGAAUACAUGAGCAUGGAAUAAUGGAAUAGGACUUUGGUCCCAUUUUGUUGGUUUCUAGGACCGAAGUAAUGAUUAAGAGGGACAAUUGGGGGCAUCCGUAUUUCGUUGUCAGAGGUGAAAUUCUUGGAUUUACGAAAGACGAGCAACUGCGAAAGCACUUGCCAAGAGUGUUUUCAUUAAUCAAGAACGAAAGUUAGAGGAUCGAAGACGAUCAGAUACCGUCCUAGUUCUAACCAUAAACGAUGUCGACUAGGGAUCAGCGGGCGUUAUCGUACGACCCCGUUGGCACCUUGCGGGAAACCAAAGUUUCUGGAUUCCGGGGGAAGUAUAGUCG